Molecule: transfer RNA, 87 nt
Filed under: Patescibacteria group bacterium
Lineage: Bacteria
Description: tRNA-Ser
Rfam family: tRNA
About the family: Transfer RNA (tRNA) molecules are approximately 80 nucleotides in length. Their secondary structure includes four short double-helical elements and three loops (D, anti-codon, and T loops).
Source: RNAcentral
GGAAGGGUCGCAUAGUGGCCUAGUGCGUCUGCUUGGAGAGCAGAUAGGCUUUCACGAGCCUCGGGAGUUCGAAUCUCCCCCCUUCCG